This 400-nucleotide ribosomal RNA is filed under the name uncultured bacterium. RNAcentral describes it as "bacterial SSU rRNA". It matches the Rfam family "Bacterial small subunit ribosomal RNA", at positions 355 to 747 of the family's 1533-position model. The record is from RNAcentral.
UGGGGAAUCUUGGACAAUGGGGGCAACCCUGAUCCAGCGAUGCCGCGUGGGUGAAGAAGGCCUUCGGGUUGUAAAGCCCUUUAGGUCGGGACAAAGGGUGUAUGGGGAUAAUCCAUAUACUUUGAUGGUACCGACAGAAUAAGCACCGGCAAACUCUGUGCCAGCAGCCGCGGUAAUACAGAGGGUGCGAGCGUUAAUCGGAAUUACUGGGCGUAAAGGGCGCGUAGGCGGUUUAGUGGGUGUGAUGUGAAAGCCCUGGGCUUAACCUAGGAAGCGCAUCGCAAACUACUCAACUGGAGUAGAUGAGAGGGUGGCGGAAUUUCCGGUGUAGCGGUGAAAUGCGUAGAGAUCGGAAGGAACGUCAAUGGCGAAGGCAGCCACCUGGCAUCAUACUGACGCU